This 1497-nucleotide ribosomal RNA is filed under the name uncultured bacterium. RNAcentral's name for it is "16S ribosomal RNA". It matches the Rfam family "Bacterial small subunit ribosomal RNA". The record is from RNAcentral.
GUUUGAUUCUGGCUCAGGAUGAACGCUGGCGGCAUGCCUAAUACAUGCAAGUCGAACGGAGUGAAGCCUUCGGGUUUCAUUCAGUGGCGAACGGGUGAGUAAUACGCAGGGAACCUGGCCAUGGCAGGGGGAUACACUCUGGAAACGGAGCAUAAGACCCCAUAGGCAGUAAGGCGGCAUCGCCUUACUGUUAAAGAAAGCUGAAAGGCUCUGGCGAUGGAUGGACCUGCGGUGCAUUAGCUUGUUGGUGAGGCAACGGCUUACCAAGGCGAUGAUGCAUAGCCGGCCUGAGAGGGCGGACGGCCACACUGGGACUGAGGCACGGCCCAGACUCCUGCGGGAGGCAGCAGUAGGGAAUUUUCGUCAAUGGGCGCAAGCCUGAACGAGCAAUGCCGCGUGAGUGAGGAAGGUCUUCGGACUGUAAAGCUCUGUUGCCGGGGAAAAAGGGGAAAUGCAGGAAAUGGCAUUUCAUGGAUGGUACCCGGCCAGAAAGCCACGGCUAACUACGUGCCAGCAGCCGCGGUAAUACGUAGGUGGCGAGCGUUAUCCGGAAUGAUUGGGCGUAAAGGGUGCGCAGGCGGUCUGUUAAGUCUGAAGGCAAAGGGAUGAGCUCAACUCAUUUAUGAUUCAGAAACUGGCAGACUUGAGGACAGGAGAGGGCGGUGGAACUCCAUGUGUAGCGGUAAAAUGCGCAGAGAUAUGGAAGAACACCAGUGGCGAAGGCGGCCGCCUGGCCUGUGACUGACGCUGAGGCACGAAAGCGUGGGGAGCAAAUAGGAUUAGAUACCCUAGUAGUCCACGCCGUAAACGAUGAGGAGCAGGUGUUGGGAGUGAAAUCUCAGUGCCGAAGCCAACGCAGUGACUCCUCCGCCUGGGGAGUAUGCACGCAAGUGUGAAACUCAAAGGAAUUGACGGGGGCCCGCACAAGCGGUGGAGUAUGUGGUUUAAUUCGAAGCAACGCGAAGAACCUUACCAGGUUUUGACAUCGGAUGCGAAGGCGCAGAGAUGCGCUGGAGGCUAUCAUCCAGACAGGUGGUGCAUGGUUGUCGUCAGCUCGUGUCGUGAGAUGUUCAGUUAAGUCUGGCAACGAGCGCAACCCCCGUGGUAUGUUACUAACGCAUUUGGGCGAGGACUCAUAUCAGACUGCCGGUGACAAACCGGAGGAAGGCGGGGAUGACGUCAAAUCAUCAUGCCCCUUAUGACCUGGGCUACACACGUACUACAAUGGCGUCUACAGAGGGAAGCGACCCUGAGAAGGGAAGCGAAACCGGAAAAGGGCGUCCCAGUUCGGAUUGAAGUCUGCAACCCGACUUCAUGAAGAUGGAAUCGCUAGUAAUCGCGGAUCAGCAUGCCGCGGUGAAUACGUUCCCGGGCCUUGUACACACCGCCCGUCAAACCAUGGAAGCCGGCAACGCCCGAAGCCGGUGGCAUAACCUUUUAGGAGUGAGCCGUCGAAGGCGGGGCCGAUGACUGGGGUUAAGUCGUAACAAGGUAUCC